GCUGGACAGGAAUUUAAGGGGCCACCUUGGGAAAAAGAACUGAACGUGUGCUGAGCAGCUACCAUGAGCUGGGGCUCUUUCACCUGCUCUCUGGGUGAACUCCCAGCCCUCAAGUCUUUGGACUUGGACAAUCUGUAGCUGGAAAGAAACACAACCACAGUCCAACCCAUUCUUCAGUUAUAUUCAAGAGGCCAAGCAAGGUGAAAUCAUUUACCCACGUUUCUAUACCUUCUUUGCUGGUGCUAAGUGGGGAUGGAGAGUGAAACCAAAAACUAAAGCCAUGAUAAGAACAAUAAAGACAAACUGUUCCUCUGAAAGAACAAACGUUUUUGUAAUCGCAGACACAUUUCUUUAGCUGCUGUAUAAGCCAAAUACUGUUUUUCCUCUCAAUAGACAUUUGACAGUUGUUCUUACAUAGAUGUCCAUGCAUGUUGUUUCGUCAAAUAUCCACAUAGAAUCUGCCACAGCGCUGUGUUCCCACACCCCAACACACACAGUCCAGUGUGUUUGGUAUUAGAAUUCUUCGAACUGUGGGCUAAGGACAUUGUUUGGAAUGAUUUGGAUUCCAAUCGGUGUUCUGCCCACUGGACGAGACUGCUCUGAGACAGUGUGGGAGGUGAGCCCAAUAUCAGACAGUGAGAAAGCCACUCACGUCUGGCCUCUGCUUGGUGAGCUAGAGGAAGCUGCGUAAGUGAGUGGGAAGAAAUAAUGAAUUGCUUGCAGGAAAGUAUGUGAGAAUCCACUGAACAAGAGGCGGUGCUAAUCAACACAGGGACUCUGACACUGUUUUAAAACAGAUGCUUCCAGACUCCGAGAGGAAGGAGGGAGGACAGAAUGUCUUAAAUUUCUUUCG
RNAcentral lists this long non-coding RNA (853 nucleotides) under Homo sapiens (human). Its description in RNAcentral is "long non-coding RNA NONHSAT155374". Lineage: Eukaryota; Metazoa; Chordata; Mammalia; Primates; Hominidae. The record is from RNAcentral.